This 500-nucleotide ribosomal RNA is filed under the name uncultured bacterium. RNAcentral describes it as "partial 16S ribosomal RNA". It matches the Rfam family "Bacterial small subunit ribosomal RNA", at positions 30 to 523 of the family's 1533-position model. The record is from RNAcentral.
AUUGAACGCUGGCGGCAUGCCUUACACAUGCAAGUCGAACGGCAGCACGGGAGCAAUCCUGGUGGCGAGUGGCGAACGGGUGAGUAAUAUAUCGGAACGUGCCCAGUCGUGGGGGAUAACGUAGCGAAAGCUACGCUAAUACCGCAUACGAUCUAUGGAUGAAAGCGGGGGAUCGCGAGACCUCGCGCGAUUGGAGCGGCCGAUAUCAGAUUAGGUAGUUGGUGGGGUAAAGGCUCACCAAGCCGACGAUCUGUAGCUGGUCUGAGAGGACGACCAGCCACACUGGGACUGAGACACGGCCCAGACUCCUACGGGAGGCAGCAGUGGGGAAUUUUGGACAAUGGGCGCAAGCCUGAUCCAGCAAUGCCGCGUGCAGGAUGAAGGCCUUCGGGUUGUAAACUGCUUCUGUACGGAGCGAAAAGGCUCUCUCUAAUACAGGGGGCUCAUGACGGUACCGUAAGAAUAAGCACCGGCUAACUACGUGCCAGCCGCCGCAGUAA